This is a long non-coding RNA of Megalobrama amblycephala (Wuchang bream), 350 nucleotides long. RefSeq lists it as uncharacterized. The transcript has 3 exons. Lineage: Eukaryota; Metazoa; Chordata; Actinopteri; Cypriniformes; Xenocyprididae. The record is from RefSeq and is a predicted model, not a curated record.
UUGUGCGCCGGCGCCUUCACAAUUGCUGGGGAUUUUGGCGACACACAUACAGUGGCUCUGGUCUCCUCAUUCUUUCCUGUUUUUACAGUGUUUACCGUAGUCAACCGGAUCCUUGAUCCUUGGACGCCUUGAUACGACCACAACGCAGCCCUGAAGUAUCAGCAGAAAUUAAAUCAGCUCCUCCAACCAAUCUGCAUUUCAGUAAAUGAAGCCACGCCCACUGCAAUUCACCUGUGAAGCUCCUCCCACAUCACUCACAUCAUCAGUGAGGCUCCUCCCACAUCACUCACAUCAUCAGUGAAGCUCCUCCCACAUCACUCACAUCAUCAGUGAAGCUCCUCCCACAGCAG